RNAcentral lists this ribosomal RNA (257 nucleotides) under uncultured bacterium. RNAcentral describes it as "partial 16S ribosomal RNA". It matches the Rfam family "Bacterial small subunit ribosomal RNA", at positions 524 to 776 of the family's 1533-position model. The record is from RNAcentral.
UACGUAGGGACCGAGCGUUGUCCGGAAUCAUUGGGCGUAAAGAGCGUGUAGGCGGCCACUUAAGUCCUGCGUGAAAUCUUGCGGCUCAACCGCAAGCGGUCGUGGGAAACUGGGUGGCUAGAGUGCGGGAGAGGAGAGUGGAAUUCCUGGUGUAGCGGUGGAAUGCGCAGAUAUCAGGAAGAACACCCGUGGCGAAAGGCGGCUCUCUGGAACGCAACUGACGCUGAGACGCGAAAAGCGUGGGGGAGCAAAACAGG